UUGGUUGGACGUCGGUGAUGCGCUUUCUGCCAUUGAUUUUGAUGUGAUAGAGUGAUCGGUGCUAUGAUGCGGCCAUGGGUGCGCAGGGGAAGGCGCAAAGAGCUGAGUUGAAUUGAAGGAAGGCGGAAGGCUCAAGAAUCAAUCUGUGUCAAGAACCUUGCUUUCGAACAACACGAACAAAACAAUCUCUUCCUUCCUUCAAAAUUUAAAAACCCUUUUAUCCAUUAAGAUCAAAAUUAAGAUUAGCUUAUACUGAAACCAUGAAUCCACCACAGUCUCCCUUCCUAUCACCUUCUCCACCCCAAAACGCAACCCAUCACUGCCGCAACAAAAGCAGAGCCACCGCAUUAACAUGAAAAAUAAUUCUACUUCCAAAAAUGAAUAAUAUUCACUACUACAAAAAAAGUGCAUAGAUAGUGCUUUUUU
Molecule: long non-coding RNA, 426 nt
Filed under: Vigna radiata
Lineage: Eukaryota; Viridiplantae; Streptophyta; Magnoliopsida; Fabales; Fabaceae
Description: long non-coding RNA (VRAD_LNC014568)
Source: RNAcentral